RNAcentral lists this ribosomal RNA (294 nucleotides) under uncultured bacterium. RNAcentral describes it as "partial 16S ribosomal RNA". It matches the Rfam family "Bacterial small subunit ribosomal RNA", at positions 335 to 612 of the family's 1533-position model. The record is from RNAcentral.
ACUCCUACGGGAGGCAGCAGUAGGGAAUUUUCCGCAAUGGACGAAAGUCUGACGGAGCAAUGCCGCGUGAGUGAUGAAGGUUUUCGAAUCGUAAAGCUCUGUUGUAAGGGAAGAAUAGCAAGAAUAAGGAAAGGUUUACUUUAUGUCUGGCACUGGUACCUUACCAGAAAGCCACGGCUAACUACGUGCCAGCAGCCGCGGUAAUACGUAGGUGGCAAGCGUUAUCCGGAAUUAUUGGGCGUAAAGCGCAUGUAGGCGGCUUUUUAAGUCUGAUGUGAAAGCCAGGUGGCUCAA